GAUGAACGCUGGCGGCGUGCCUAAUACAUGCAAGUCGAGCGAACAGACGAGGAGCUUGCUCCUCUGACGUUAGCGGCGGACGGGUGAGUAACACGUGGAUAACCUACCUAUAAGACUGGGAUAACUUCGGGAAACCGGAGCUAAUACCGGAUAAUAUAUUGAACCGCAUGGUUCAAUAGUGAAAGACGGUUUUGCUGUCACUUAUAGAUGGAUCCGCGCCGCAUUAGCUAGUUGGUAAGGUAACGGCUUACCAAGGCAACGAUGCGUAGCCGACCUGAGAGGGGGGUCGGCCACAGUGGAACUGAGACACGGUCCAGACACCUACGGGAGGCGGCAGGAGGGAAUCUUCCGGAAGGGGCGAAAGUCUGACGGAGCAAUGCCGCGGGAGUGAUAAAGGUCUUCGGAUCGUAAAACUCUGUUAUUAGGGAAGAACAAAUGGGUAAGUAACUAUGCACGUCUUGACGGUACCUAAUCAGAAAGCCACGGCUAACUACGUG
RNAcentral lists this ribosomal RNA (497 nucleotides) under uncultured bacterium. RNAcentral describes it as "partial 16S ribosomal RNA". It matches the Rfam family "Bacterial small subunit ribosomal RNA", at positions 28 to 507 of the family's 1533-position model. The record is from RNAcentral.